This 406-nucleotide ribosomal RNA is filed under the name uncultured bacterium. Its description in RNAcentral is "partial 16S ribosomal RNA". It matches the Rfam family "Bacterial small subunit ribosomal RNA", at positions 30 to 526 of the family's 1533-position model. The record is from RNAcentral.
AUUGACCGCUGGCGGCAGGCCUAACACAUGCAAGUCGAACGUGUGGCGGACGGGUGAGUAAUGUCUGGGUAACUGCCUGAUGGAGGGGGAUAACUACUGGAAACGGUAGCUAAUACCGCAUAUCAUCAGAUGCGCCCUGAUGGGAUUAGCUUGUUGGUGGUGUAAAGGCUCUCCAAGGCGACGCUCCCUAGCUGGUCUGAGAGGAUGACGAACAACACUGGAACUGAGACACGGUCCAGACUCCUACGGGGGGCAGCAGUGGGGAGUAUUGCACGAUGGGGGCAAGACUGAUGCAGCCAUAACGCGUGUAUGGAGAAGGCCUGCGGAUUGUAGAGUAAGUACAGCGGAGAGGCGGUACCAGCAGAAGAAGCACCGGCUAACUCCGUGCCAGAAGCAGCAGUAAUAC